RNAcentral lists this unclassified non-coding RNA (391 nucleotides) under soil metagenome. Its description in RNAcentral is "partial contains 5.8S ribosomal RNA, internal transcribed spacer 2, and large subunit ribosomal RNA". The stretch from base 1 to 122 matches the Rfam family "5.8S ribosomal RNA", at positions 35 to 154 of the family's 154-position model. The record is from RNAcentral.
GAUGAAGAACGCAGCGAAAUGCGAUACUUGGUGUGAAUUGCAGAAUCCCGUGAACCAUCGAGUCUUUGAACGCAAGUUGCGCCCGAAGCCAUUAGGCCGAGGGCACGCCUGCCUGGGCGUCACACGACGUUGCCCCCCCAUCUACUCCUUCGGGAUUGCGGGGGGCGGAUGAUGGCCUCCCGUGCGCCUCGUCGCGCGGUUGGCAUAAAUGCCAAGUCCUCGGCGACGCACGCCACGACAAUCGGUGGUUGCGAAACCUCGGUUGCCCGUCGUGUGCGGUCGUCGCGCAUCGAGGGCUCGAAAAAAUUGCCGGGCUCCGGCUCGACUUUCAACGCGACCCCAGGUCAGGCGGGGUUACCCGCUGAAUUUAAGCAUAUCAAUAAGCGGAGGA